RNAcentral lists this ribosomal RNA (499 nucleotides) under uncultured bacterium. RNAcentral's name for it is "partial 16S ribosomal RNA". It matches the Rfam family "Bacterial small subunit ribosomal RNA", at positions 29 to 507 of the family's 1533-position model. The record is from RNAcentral.
ACGCACGCUGGCGGCGUGCUUAACACCUGCAAGUCGAACGGGUCUGCCCUGUUUUUUGCGGGGUGGGUCAGUGGCGAACGGGUGAGUAACACGUGAGUAACCUGCCCCUCACUUCUGGAUAACCGCUUGAAAGGGUGGCUAAUACGGGGUGUUCUGGCUGUGCCGCAUGGUGUGGCUGGGAAAGAUUCACUUUUGUGGUUUUUUGGUGGGGGAUGGGCUCGCGGCCUAUCAGCUUGUUGGUGGGGUGAUGGCCUGCCAAGGCUUUGACGGGUAGCCGGCCUGGGAGGGUGGGCGGUCAGACUGGGACUGAGAUACGGCCCAGACUCCUGCGGGAGGCAGCAGUGGGGGGUAUUGAACAAUGGGCGGAAGCCUGAUGCAGCGACGUCGCGUGAGGGAUGGAGGCCUUCGGGUUGUGAACCUCUUUCGCCGGUGAAGAAGGUCCUGCUCUUUGUGGUGGGGUUGACGGUAGCCGGGUUAUGAAGCGCCGGCUAACUACGUG